RNAcentral lists this ribosomal RNA (253 nucleotides) under uncultured bacterium. RNAcentral describes it as "partial 16S ribosomal RNA". It matches the Rfam family "Bacterial small subunit ribosomal RNA", at positions 524 to 776 of the family's 1533-position model. The record is from RNAcentral.
UACAGAGGGUGCAAGCGUUAAUCGGAAUUACUGGGCGUAAAGGGCGCGUAGGUGGAAUAAUAAGUUGGAUGUGAAAUCCCCGGGCUUAACCUGGGAACGCCAUCCAAAACUGUUGAUCUAGAGUAUAGUAGAGGGAAGUGGAAUUUCCGGUGUAGCGGUGAAAUGCGUAGAUAUCGGAAGGAACACCAGUGGCGAAGGCGGCUUCCUGGACUAAUACUGACACUGAGGCGCGAGAGCGUGGGGAGCAAACAGG